AUGUGGGGUGUCAAUGAGUGGAGCAGGUUGUUGAUGACACCAUUUAGCCACGGCGCCCCUGGAAGCCGGGUCUUGGCCACCACAAGGCAUGAAGCUGUUGCACGGGGAAUAAGAGCCAUGGAGCCGUACCACCAUGUUGACAAAUUAGGACUCGAUGAUGCUUGGUCAUUGCUCAGGAAGCAGAUUCAUGGAAUGGACAGAAGUGAACCAGCGAUUGUUAUGCUAAAGGAUAUCGGAUUAAAAAUUGUAGAAAAAUGUGAUGGAUUACUGCUUGCUAUAAAAGUAAUGGGAGGACUCCUAUGCCAGAAGGAGAAAGAACGACGUUGUUGGGAACAGGUUCUAAAUGAUGCUAUAUGGUCAGUAUCUGGAAUGCCGGAGGAGCUAAAUAAUGCAAUAUAUCUUAGCUAUGAGGACUUGUCCCCUUGUUUAAAACAAUGCUUCUUGCAUUUUUCACUAAAACCUAAAAGGACAGUAUUACAUGAUAGCGAGUGUGUCGGCAUGUGGAUUGGUGAAGGAAUUGUUCAUGGUGAUUCAGAUAGACUGGAAGAAUUAGGAAUUGAGUACCAUAAGGAGCUAGUACUAAGAAAUCUCAUAGAACCUGUUACAUCAUAUGCUGGUCAACAUGUUUGCAAUAUGCAUGAUGUUGUUUGUUCAUUUGCUCAAUUUGUGUCUAGAAAUGAAGCACAAACAGUUAACAGUGGAGAUUCUAUUAGUAGUAAACUUGGUUUGCAGAGGUUUCUUAGGUUGUCUAUUGAAACCGAUGCAGUGGAAUCAGCUGAAUUUGAUUGGCAAAGUCUACAAGAGCAAAAGUCACUAAGAUCCAUAAUACUAAUCGGGAAUUUCCGUAUUCAGCCUGGUGUUUCAUUGAUUAGCUUUUCAAGUCUACGAACUCUACAUAUGGAGUCUACAGAUUGUGUUACAUUGCUUGUAUCUUUGUAUCAACUGAAACACUUGAGGUACUUGGCUGCAAAAAGAUGCAGCGGUAUAAAUAGCUUGCCACAGGACAUCCACAAGAUAAAAUUCUUGCAGCAUAUUUGUUUUGAGGGUUGUGAGAAUCUUUUGGAACUACCUGAUAGCAUUGUGAAACUACAAGAACUGAGAUUUCUUGACCUUGAUUGCACAUAUGUAACUGGUGUGCCUAGGGGUUUCCGUGCUCUAAAAAAUUUGAGGACAAUAUAUGGGUUCCCGGCUCAAAUGGAUGGUGACUGGUGCAGUUUGGAAGAGCUUGGGCCUCUUUCCUGGCUUAGGUGCAUUAGAAUAGUUGGUCUACAGAAUGUAUCUGCUGGCUCAUUUGCCACAAAGGCCAGGCUUGGUGAAAAGGUGUAUCUUUCCAUGCUGCGCUUAUACUGCAGCAAUAGACUUGGCGAUGACGGACUGAAGAAAGAAAAUGUCUCCGAGAGAGAUCAAAGAGUAAUUGAGGAGUUAUUUGAUGGGCUAUUUCCUCCACCAUGCAUAGAAGAUAUUUGGAUCCAAGGAUAUUAUGGGUGCCAGCUCCCAAGAUGGAUGUUUUCAACAUCAAUGUCACUCCUUGAGAACUUGAAGAUUCUAGUGCUGCGCGACCUGGCUUGCUGCACUCAACUCCCUGAUGGACUGUGUCAGCUCCCUUGUUUCGAGUACCUAGAGGUAUUCCGGGCUGUAGCAAUUAAGCGUGUGGGUCCUGAAUUUGUGAAGGCUUAUAGUCACCAUCAUCAUCCUUCAUCCCGGGUUGUGGUUACUUUUUCAAGACUGCACAAGAUGAUCUUGAAUGGACUGGUGGAAUGGGAGGAGUGGGAGUGGAAGAAGGAAGUGCAGUCUAUGCAGGCCUUGGAGGAACUUGAAAUCGGAAGUUGCAAAUUGAGGUGUAUCCCUCCUGGCCUUGCCUCCCAUGCAAGGGCUUUGAAAAAGUUAACUAUAUGGAGAGUCCAGCAACUCCAGUCUAUAGAGAACUUUUCCUCUUUAGUUGAGCUCGACCUGGCUGACCUACCCGACCUGACUAGGAUCUCCAAUUUCCCCAAGAUGCGAAAACUUGAGAUCUAUUGCUGCCAGAAGCUUGAGUCGCUGCAGGAGAUGGAUGCACUCAAUAGGCUCGUGCUAACAGUUCACUACAGCGACAGCCGGCUCCCAUCAUACCUGCAAACUGUGAAGCUAAGCCAUUUGCUGCUGGACUGCUGGCCGUUCAUACUCCUUUCCAUGGCUUUGGGAGAGUCUAGUUCCGAGUGGGACAAGUUCAGCCAUAUCCAGCACGUCGAGGCUUAUGCAGAUGUUAAUGGCAUUGAAAAGAGCUGGCACCUAUUUUACACAAGGGAUCCCUACAGCAUGGAGACAAACAUUGAUCUGCAGGCGUGGCCAAAUGUUGUUAGGUUUCUACAAUCAGGGGGCGAAGAUGGACUGCCUCGUUUAGCUGACCAGUUACAACGAGCACGAGCUCAAGAAGUGGAGGUUGCAGACACAAUAGAGUAG
Molecule: ribosomal RNA, 2439 nt
Filed under: Triticum aestivum (bread wheat)
Lineage: Eukaryota; Viridiplantae; Streptophyta; Magnoliopsida; Poales; Poaceae
Description: partial small subunit ribosomal RNA
Source: RNAcentral